Molecule: long non-coding RNA, 211 nt
Filed under: Gossypium barbadense (sea-island cotton)
Lineage: Eukaryota; Viridiplantae; Streptophyta; Magnoliopsida; Malvales; Malvaceae
Description: long non-coding RNA (GBAR_LNC013423)
Source: RNAcentral
AUGGAUAGUGUGAUAUAGCUCUGACAAGCUUCCACCCCGAACGAGCUUUUGAUUUACUAUAAAACACAAAAAAUAACACAAAGUAAGCAUUUAAGCUUGGUAAGUUCAUAUAUCAUAGAGUAAAACUUACCAUUUAGUCACGUAAUAGGUAAAUAAACAUAGCAUAUCCUAACAUGAUUUGACCAAAUGCCUAAGCACAUAUACUUCAACC